UUUAAUUUUUAUUUUGGUAUAUGCAGAAUGGGUGCUAUGCAGAAAAUUAACUUGUUUGGCCCCAGCUGCAUCAUACAGUGGAUUUCUUCUCUUGAGGGACAUUAGUAUUCAUUUGGCAUAUUUUUAUCAUUUGUCUUGAACUGGAAUGUCCUAAUUCAUAGAAAGUUACCUUUACAGUUAGAUUCCAGGUUGUGUAUUACUCCCUUCUUUUGGAGCCUUUUUUUUUUCUUUUUAAUCUCACUUUAAUAUUUUAUUUGUCCAGAGAAAAAUUGAGAAUGACUCUCUAGCCUAGUGAUUGGGUCACACUCAAGUUCCAAUCACUAUAUAACCAUUUUAACAAGACUAUUUUAAGGGUCUGGAAUGAGAGGAAUGCCUCUUCCAAAGCAAACUAUGGUAUUCAGUGAUUAUGGAGCUCUACUACCAAUCUUGAUUGACAAACCAACUUCAGGAUUUGUUUGAAGCUAAGUUUCUGAUAUUCCCAAAUGGUGUCCUAACAUUUCAGAGGUGUGUCUAAGCAUCAGAUUUGAGGGUACACGCAUUAUUUCUCUUCCCCUAUUUUACUCUGAUUGGCAGCAAAGUCCUCUUAAUAAACCCAAUAUCAGAACGUUGGAACAUCUUGUUUUGGAUAAAGUGAAAUGAGUCCAUUGGCAUUUCAUAUAUUAAUUUUUCUUUUUUAUUCAUCAAACUAUUUAGCAAACCAGAUCUGAAUCAUUCUGAUGUAAAUUAUUCAUUGAAGGAAAAUUUUCUAGUCCCAUUUGAAGACAACCUGGACUACAACUGCCUCUGUUUUUUUCUUUCUUCAAUUGUGAAGAAGAUAUAGAACCUCCAAUGUAUUUGAAGUUCGUCUCCAGAACAACAGGAAAACUGAGAUUCAGCAGAUUCCCAGAUGGGACUACAGAAUGUAACAGAGUGUUGGCUCUUCAGGGCAGAUCUUUCAACUGAAGCCUAUCAACCGAUCAGCUGAAUUGAACUGUUCAACUGUUCAGCAGUAUUUCAACUGAUGCAGUGCUUCCCCUUUCAAGUCCUCUGGUAAACAUCUGAUUUGUCCUAAAUCAUGAUUACCCUUCUCUCUGAAAUGCACCAGAGAGGUUCAGGCAACCUGUGAUAUCGUCUAAAUUGCUUUUCAUUCUGUCAAAACUAACGAUUUGAAUGAUAUCUUACCAAUCCUGUGCAAUACAGCCCACAACAAGGCCGUGUACUUUAUAAAAUCAGUGUGAUUAUUAGUUGUCCUGAGAUACUUCUGAAAAGCAUAUUAACUACCCAUCAUUUCACUGUCUUUGCUAGUAUGCCCUCUGGGUAUGGGAUAUACACAAUUCAGAGAAGGUUAAUUGGAGAAAUUCAAGCUCUGGGCUUUUUGUCAUUUUCUUCUUUAUAGCACAAACAUGCAAUGCUAUAUUGGCAGCCUUUCAAGUCCUCUGAAAAACUGAAAUACUUAUUUAUGGUGAUACCUGAUUUUUCAUUUGCAACCAAUUUCCUAAACCUGUAAGGCUUGUUUGAGCUUCAUAUAUACAUAUAAGGAGAAGAGAAAGACAGUUCAGUCCU
RNAcentral lists this long non-coding RNA (1542 nucleotides) under Struthio camelus australis. RNAcentral describes it as "lncRNA (ENSSCUG00000010994.1)". The record is from RNAcentral. Lineage: Eukaryota; Metazoa; Chordata; Aves; Struthioniformes; Struthionidae.